This 597-nucleotide ribosomal RNA is filed under the name uncultured bacterium. Its description in RNAcentral is "bacterial SSU rRNA". It matches the Rfam family "Bacterial small subunit ribosomal RNA", at positions 273 to 870 of the family's 1533-position model. The record is from RNAcentral.
UCUACGAUCAGUAACUGAUGUGAGAGCAUGAUCAGCCACACGGGCACUGAGACACGGGCCCGACUCCUACGGGAGGCAGCAGUAAGGAAUAUUGGUCAAUGGGCGAAAGCCUGAACCAGCCAUGCCGCGUGAAGGAUUAAGGUCCUUUGGAUUGUAAACUUCUUUUAUCUGGGACGAAAAAAGGCGAUUCUUCGUCACUUGACGGUACCAGAUGAAUAAGCACCGGCUAACUCCGUGCCAGCAGCCGCGGUAAUACGGAGGGUGCAAGCGUUAUCCGGAUUCACUGGGUUUAAAGGGUGCGUAGGCGGGCAGGUAAGUCAGUGGUGAAAUCCCCGAGCUUAACUCGGGAACUGCCAUUGAUACUAUCUGUCUUGAAUAUUGUGGAGGUAAGCGGAAUAUGUCAUGUAGCGGUGAAAUGCUUAGAUAUGACAUAGAACACCUAUUGCGAAGGCAGCUUACUACGCAUAUAUUGACGCUGAUGCACGAAAGCGUGGGGAUCAAACAGGAUUAGAUACCCUGGUAGUCCACGCCCUAAACGAUGAUUACUCGACAUUUGCGAUAUACUGUAAGUGUCUGAGCGAAAGCAUUAAGUAAUCC